GACACAAGGUAAGAUUUGUACUUUAUCAAGUGUGUUUUCAAUCAGAAUUUUUCAGUUUUAUAAGGGAAAAGACUUCAAAGGUGAAGACUAACAGGUUUUGUCCCAAACAGGGCCACUGUUAACCAUGCCAUAUACUGCAUUGCAACGUCAGGUCACUGGAUGUACAGCAUGAUCAUGGACUUUUAAUGGACUUCUUUUCCAUUCAGGAGAGAAACCAGUCAACUGCUCCUACGUCGUCAGUUUGAACUUGGCAGUGGUAAUGAUGGCUACAGAUAAAGGUGACGAUUCCUCAUCAGAACACCC
Long non-coding RNA from Dicentrarchus labrax (European seabass), 303 nucleotides. NCBI's taxonomy places the organism in Eukaryota, Metazoa, Chordata, Actinopteri, Moronidae. The record is from Ensembl.